This 786-nucleotide ribosomal RNA is filed under the name uncultured fungus. RNAcentral's name for it is "LSU rRNA". It matches the Rfam family "Eukaryotic large subunit ribosomal RNA", at positions 23 to 664 of the family's 3401-position model. The record is from RNAcentral. Lineage: Eukaryota; Fungi.
ACCCGCUGAACUUAAGCAUAUCAAUAAGGCGGAGGAAAAGAAACUAACAAGGAUUCCCCUAGUAACGGCGAGUGAAGCGGGAUGAGCUCAAAUUUAAAAUCUGGCUGGUUUACUAGUCCGAAUUGUAGUUUAUAGAAGCGUUUUCGGUGGCAGCCUGGGUAUAAAUCCUUUGGAAUAGGGUAUCAUAGAGGGUGAGAAUCCCGUCUUUGACUCAGUGCAUGCUACUAUGUGAUACGUUUUCAAAGAGUCGAGUUGUUUGGGAAUGCAGCUCAAAAUGGGUGGUAAAUUUCAUCUAAAGCUAAAUAUUGGCGAGAGACCGAUAGCGAACAAGUACCGUGAGGGAAAGAUGAAAAGAACUUUGAAAAGAGAGUUAAACAGUGCGUGAAAUUGUUGAAAGGGAAACGUUUGACACCAGUUAUGCGGGUGGAAAAUCAGUCUUUUGCAGUGGGGAGUUGUGGGCGUUCAGACCGCAAGGCUGGCGUUUGCUUCAUCUUUGCUGUAAGUGAUGCACUUUUUCAUUUGCAGGUCAACAUCAGUUUGCUUUGCUGGACAAAACCCCAAGGGAAGGUGGCAGCUUAGGCUGUGUUAUAGCCCUGGGGCGAUACAGUGGAGUGGACUGAGGUUUCGCAGUGUGUGCUCUCGGGCAAGGCUGACUGGGUGCUAUGGGAUCGUUCGGCGUACAAUGCAUGCAUUUUGCGUCGUGUCUUUUUCAUACUCGCUCAACUCGGCUCUUCCAUACUUAGGAUGUUGACUUAAUGGUUUUAAACGACCCGUCUUGAAACACGG